This 332-nucleotide unclassified non-coding RNA is filed under the name soil metagenome. RNAcentral's name for it is "partial contains 5.8S ribosomal RNA, internal transcribed spacer 2, and large subunit ribosomal RNA". The stretch from base 1 to 120 matches the Rfam family "5.8S ribosomal RNA", at positions 35 to 154 of the family's 154-position model. The record is from RNAcentral.
GAUGAAGAACGUAGUGAAAUGCGAUAAGUAGUGUGAAUUGCAGAAUUCAGUGAAUCAUCGAAUCUUUGAACGCACAUUGCGCCCCUCGGUAUUCCGUGGGGCAUGCCUGUUCGAGCGUCAUUUACCCCUCAAGCACUGCUUGGUGUUGGGCGUCUGUCCCGCUUCGCGCGCGGACUCGCCCCAAAGGUAUUGGCAGCGGUCGUGCCAGCUUCUCGCGCAGCACAUUGCGCUUCUCGAGGCGGUCGAUCGGCGUCCACGAAGCUCACCUCCACCGUUUGACCUCGGAUCAGGUAGGGAUACCCGCUGAACUUAAGCAUAUCAAUAAGGGAGGA